GCCUCGUUGGCGCAGUUAGGCAGCGCGUCAGUCUCAUAAUCUGAAGGUUGUGAGUUCGAGCCUCACACGGGGCA
Non-coding RNA from Carassius carassius (crucian carp), 74 nucleotides. Lineage: Eukaryota; Metazoa; Chordata; Actinopteri; Cypriniformes; Cyprinidae. The record is from the annotation of a RefSeq genome assembly.